AUUGGUGUCUUACCAGGCAAAGUUAGAUCUGGCUAUGGGUGUCUAAUACUGUCUGGUAAUGCCGUCAAU
Non-coding RNA from Chaetura pelagica (chimney swift), 69 nucleotides. The record is from Rfam. Lineage: Eukaryota; Metazoa; Chordata; Aves; Apodiformes; Apodidae.